UAGGCUUUAAGUGGGAAGAAAAAAGCUAACUCUGCUCAAAAGUAAAGGAGAAAGGCCGGAAGGUAAGAGUUUACAAGGCCCAGAAGCUCCGAACGAGGACAGAAAUUAGGCAGCCCAUAGGGGACACGAGUUCAAGCCCUGGUCCGGAAAGAUCCCACAUGCCACGGAGCAACCAAGCCCGUGCGCCACAACUACUGAGCCUGUGCUCUAGAGCCCGCAUGCCACAACUACUGAAGCCCGCGCACCUAGAGCCCGUGCUCCGCAACAAGAGAAGCCACCACAAUGAGAAGACCGCACACUGCAACGAAGAGUAGCCCCCUCUCACUGCAACUAGAGAAAGCCCGCGUGCAGCAACAAAGACCCAAUGCAGCCAGAAAAAUAAUAACGAUAAUAAUAAAAUAAAAUAAAUAUAUUUUAAAAAACAAA
Balaenoptera ricei (Rice's whale) is the source of this 426-nucleotide long non-coding RNA. RefSeq lists it as uncharacterized. The transcript has 2 exons. NCBI's taxonomy places the organism in Eukaryota, Metazoa, Chordata, Mammalia, Artiodactyla, Balaenopteridae. The record is from RefSeq and is a predicted model, not a curated record.